Molecule: ribosomal RNA, 381 nt
Filed under: uncultured soil bacterium
Lineage: Bacteria
Description: bacterial SSU rRNA
Rfam family: Bacterial small subunit ribosomal RNA
Source: RNAcentral
AAUCUUCCUUCGGGACUCGUGAACAGGUGCUGCAUGGCUGUCGUCAGCUCGUGCCGUGAGGUGUUGGGUUAAGUCCCGCAACGAGCGCAACCCUUAUCAUUAGUUGCCAACAUUUAAGGGGGGAACUCUAAUGAAACUGCCCGGGUUAACCAGGAGGAAGGGGAGGAUGACCUCAAGUCCCCAUGGCCCUUAUUUCUGGGGCUACCCCCCUGCUACAAUGGGCGGGACAAAAGGGAGCCAACCCCCGAGGGGGAACAAAUCCAAAAAGCCGGCCUCCCUUCAGAUUGUAAUCUGCCACUCCACUCCCUGAAAACGGAAUUGCUUUUAAUGGCAGGUCAACAACACUGCCCUGAAUAAAUUCCCGGGUCUUGGACACACCGA